RNAcentral lists this ribosomal RNA (1379 nucleotides) under uncultured bacterium. RNAcentral's name for it is "16S ribosomal RNA". It matches the Rfam family "Bacterial small subunit ribosomal RNA". The record is from RNAcentral.
UUCGCCCUUAGAGUUUGAUCCUGGCUCAGGACGAACGCUGGCGGCGCGCCUAACACAUGCAAGUCGAACGAGCGAGAGAGAGCUUGCUUUCUCGAGCGAGUGGCGAACGGGUGAGUAACGCGUGAGGAACCUGCCUCAAAGAGGGGGACAACAGUUGGAGACGACUGCUAAUACCGCAUAAGCCCACAGCUCGGCAUCGAGCAGAGGGAAAAGGAGCAAUCCGCUUUGAGAUGGCCUCGCGUCCGAUUAGCUAGUUGGUGAGGUAAUGGCCCACCAAGGCAACGAUCGGUAGCCGGACUGAGAGGUUGAACGGCCACAUUGGGACUGAGACACGGCCCAGACUCCUACGGGAGGCAGCAGUGGGGAAUAUUGCACAAUGGGGGAAACCCUGAUGCAGCGACGCCGCGUGGAGGAAGAAGGUCUUCGGAUUGUAAACUCCUGUUGUUGAGGAAGAUAAUGACGGUACUCAACAAGGAAGUGACGGCUAACUACGUGCCAGCAGCCGCGGUAAAACGUAGGUCACAAGCGUUGUCCGGAAUUACUGGGUGUAAAGGGAGCGCAGGCGGGAAGACAAGUUGGAAGUGAAAUCUAUGGGCUCAACCCAUAAACUGCUUUCAAAACUGUUUUUCUUGAGUAGUGCAGAGGUAGGCGGAAUUCCCGGUGUAGCGGCGGAAUGCGUAGAUAUCGGGAGGAACACCAGUGGCGAAGGCGGCCUACUGGGCACCAACUGACGCUGAGGCUCGAAAGUGUGGGUAGCAAACAGGAUUAGAUACCCUGGUAGUCCGCACCGUAAACGAUGAUUACUAGGUGUUGGAGGAUUGACCCCUUCAGUGCCGCAGUUAACACAAUAAGUAAUCCACCUGGGGAGUACGACCGCAAGGUUGAAACUCAAAGGAAUUGACGGGGGCCCGCACAAGCAGUGGAGUAUGUGGUUUAAUUCGACGCAACGCGAAGAACCUUACCAAGUCUUGACAUCCUGCGACGAUGCUGGAAACAGUAUUUUCCUUCGGGACGCAGAGACAGGUGGUGCAUGGUUGUCGUCAGCUCGUGUCGUGAGAUGUUGGGUUAAGUCCCGCAACGAGCGCAACCCUUACUGUCAGUUACUACGCAGGAGGACUCUGGCAGGACUGCCGUUGACAAAACGGAGGAAGGUGGGGAUGACGUCAAAUCAUCAUGCCCUUUAUGACUUGGGCUACACACGUACUACAAUGGCGUUAAACAAAGAGAAGCAAGACCGCGAGGUGGAGCAAAACUCAGAAACAACGUCCCAGUUCGGACUGCAGGCUGCAACUCGCCUGCACGAAGUCGGAAUUGCUAGUAAUCGUGGAUCAGCAUGCCACGGUGAAUACGUUCCCGGGCCUUGCACACACCGCCCGUCA